GUGGCUAUAGCUCAGUUGGUAGAGCUCUGGAUUGUGAUUCCAGUUGUCAUGGGUUCAAUUCCCAUUAGCCACCCCAUUU
Molecule: transfer RNA, 79 nt
Filed under: Candidatus Ishikawaella capsulata Mpkobe
Lineage: Bacteria; Pseudomonadati; Pseudomonadota; Gammaproteobacteria; Enterobacterales; Enterobacteriaceae
Description: tRNA-His
Rfam family: tRNA
About the family: Transfer RNA (tRNA) molecules are approximately 80 nucleotides in length. Their secondary structure includes four short double-helical elements and three loops (D, anti-codon, and T loops).
Source: RNAcentral